UAGGGAAUCUUCCACAAUGGACGCAAGUCUGAUGGAGCAACGCCGCGUGAGUGAAGAAGGGUUUCGGCUCGUAAAGCUCUGUUGUUAAAGAAGAACGUGGGUAAGAAUAACUGUUUACCCAGUGACGGUAUUUAACCAGAAAGCCACGGCUAACUACGUGCCAG
This 164-nucleotide ribosomal RNA is filed under the name uncultured bacterium. Its description in RNAcentral is "partial 16S ribosomal RNA". It matches the Rfam family "Bacterial small subunit ribosomal RNA", at positions 355 to 511 of the family's 1533-position model. The record is from RNAcentral.